This 481-nucleotide ribosomal RNA is filed under the name uncultured bacterium. RNAcentral's name for it is "partial 16S ribosomal RNA". It matches the Rfam family "Bacterial small subunit ribosomal RNA", at positions 30 to 507 of the family's 1533-position model. The record is from RNAcentral.
AUUGAACGCUGGCGGCAUGCUUUACACAUGCAAGUCGAACGGUAACAGGCCGCAAGGUGCUGACGAGUGGCGCACGGGUGAGUAAUGCAUCGGAACGUGCCCAGUCGUGGGGGAUAACUACUCGAAAGAGUAGCUAAUACCGCAUACGAUCUAUGGAUGAAAGCGGGGGACCGUAAGGCCUCGCGCGAUUGGAGCGGCCGAUGUCAGAUUAGGUAGUUGGUGGGGUAAAGGCUCACCAAGCCAACGAUCUGUAGCUGGUCUGAGAGGACGACCAGCCACACUGGGACUGAGACACGGCCCAGACUCCUACGGGAGGCAGCAGUGGGGAAUUUUGGACAAUGGGCGCAAGCCUGAUCCAGCAAUGCCGCGUGCAGAAGAAGGCCUUCGGGUUGUAAACUGCUUUUGUACGGAACGAAACGGCUCUGGUUAAUACCCGGGGCUAAUGACGGUACCGUAAGAAUAAGCACCGGCUAACUACGUG